AGAAGGGCAGUGCCAAAGAAUGGGGGUCAUCCAUUGCACUUCGGGUGUGCUGAUCCCUAUGAUUUCCCCUAAUGUGGGAAACUUAACUGCGUAAUUUGUGAUAGUGGGGGACUGUGUUUGUACUUUCCUAUG
This 132-nucleotide small nuclear RNA is filed under the name Pogona vitticeps (central bearded dragon). RNAcentral's name for it is "U1 spliceosomal RNA (ENSPVIG00000015806.1)". It matches the Rfam family "U1 spliceosomal RNA", at positions 33 to 166 of the family's 166-position model. From Rfam's summary of the family: U1 is a small nuclear RNA (snRNA) component of the spliceosome (involved in pre-mRNA splicing). The record is from RNAcentral. Lineage: Eukaryota; Metazoa; Chordata; Lepidosauria; Squamata; Agamidae.